RNAcentral lists this ribosomal RNA (484 nucleotides) under uncultured bacterium. RNAcentral describes it as "partial 16S ribosomal RNA". It matches the Rfam family "Bacterial small subunit ribosomal RNA", at positions 29 to 507 of the family's 1533-position model. The record is from RNAcentral.
AUUGAACGCUGGCGGAAUGCUUUACACAUGCAAGUCGAGCGGCAGCGCGGCCUUCGGGCUGGCGGCGAGCGGCGAACGGGUGAGUAAUGCAUCGGAACAUGCCCAGUCGUGGGGGAUAACACUUCGAAAGAAGUGCUAAUACCGCAUACGUCCUGAGGGGGAAAGCGGGGGAUCGCAAGACCUCGCGCGAUUGGAGUGGCCGAUGUCAGAUUAGCUAGUUGGUGGGGUAAAGGCCUACCAAGGCGACGAUCUGUAGCUGGUCUGAGAGGAUGAUCAGCCACACUGGGACUGAGACACGGCCCAGACUCCUACGGGAGGCAGCAGUGGGGAAUUUUGGACAAUGGGGGCAACCCUGAUCCAGCCAUUCCGCGUGAGUGAAGAAGGCCUUCGGGUUGUAAAGCUCUUUCGGCAGGAACGAAACGGUGGGCUCUAACAUAGUCCGCUAAUGACGGUACCUGAAGAAGAAGCACCGGCCAACUACCUG